GCCCUAGUACGGCGAGUGAAGCGGCACAGCUCAAUUUGAAAUCUGGCCUUUGGUCCGAAUUGUAAUUUGUAGAGGAUGCUUUUGGUGCGGUUCUUUCCGAGUUCCCUGGAACGGGACGCCUUAGAGGGUGAGAGCCCCGUACGGUUGGAUACCAAGCCUUUGUAUAGCUCCUUCGACGAGUCGAGUAGUUUGGGAAUGCUGCUCUAAAUGGGAGGUAAAUUUCUUCUAAAGCUAAAUACCGGCCAGAGACCGAUAGCGCACAAGUAGAGUGAUCGAAAGAUGAAAAGCACUUUGAAAAGAGGGUUAAAUAGCACGUGAAAUUGUUGAAAGGGAAGCGUUUAUGACCAGACUUUUUCCAAGCGGAUCAUCCGGUGUUCUCACCGGUGCACUUUCGCUUGGUUGAGGCCAGCAUCGGUUUUCGUAGAGGGAUAAAAGCUUUAGGAAUGUGGCUCUUCGGAGUGUUAUAGCCUAUUGUAUAAUACCUUUAUGGGGACCGAGGUUCGCGCUCUGCAAGGAUGCUGGCGUAAUGGUCAUCAACGACCCGUCUUGAAACACGGACCAAGGAGUCGAACAUUUGUGCGAGUGUUUGGGUGUUAAACCCUCACGCGUAAUGAAAGUGAACGGAGGUGAGAGCCUUAGGGUGCAUCAUCGACCGAUCCUGAUGUUUUCGGAUGGAUUUGAGUAAGAGCAUAACUGUUCGGACCCGAAAGAUGGUGAACUAUGCGUGGAUAGGGUGAAGCCAGAGGAAACUCUGGUGGAGGCUCGCAGCGGUUCUGACGUGCAAAUCGAUCGUCAAAUCUGCGCA
RNAcentral lists this ribosomal RNA (805 nucleotides) under Castanediella cagnizarii. RNAcentral's name for it is "eukaryotic LSU rRNA". It matches the Rfam family "Eukaryotic large subunit ribosomal RNA", at positions 77 to 917 of the family's 3401-position model. Lineage: Eukaryota; Fungi; Ascomycota; Sordariomycetes; Amphisphaeriales; Castanediellaceae. The record is from RNAcentral.